GCUGUAAUCGUGGAUCAGCAUGCCACGGUGAAUACGUUCCCGGGUCUUGUACACACCGCCCGUCACACCAUGGGAGCCGGUAAUACCCGAAGUCAGUAGUCUAACCGCAAGGAGGACGCUGCCGAAGGUAGGAUUGGCGACUGGGGUGAAGUCGUAACAAGGUAGC
Molecule: ribosomal RNA, 166 nt
Filed under: uncultured bacterium
Lineage: Bacteria
Description: partial 16S ribosomal RNA
Rfam family: Bacterial small subunit ribosomal RNA
Source: RNAcentral